GCCCGGGUAGUAUAGUCCGGUCUAGUAUGGGGGACUGUCACUCCUUCGACCCGGGUUCGAAAUUCGGUUUGAUAGAAAAAACCGAACGGACAUCCCGGCCCGGGCG
RNAcentral lists this transfer RNA (106 nucleotides) under Thermoproteota archaeon. RNAcentral's name for it is "tRNA-Asp". Lineage: Archaea; Thermoproteati; Thermoproteota. The record is from RNAcentral.